AUUGAACGCUGGCGGCAUGCUUUACACGUGCAAGUCGAACGGCAGCGCGGGCUUCGGCCUGGCGGCGAGUGGCGAACGGGUGAGUAAUACAUCGGAACGUGCCCAGUAGUGGGGGAUAGCUCGGCGAAAGCCGGAUUAAUACCGCAUACGACCUGAGGGUGAAAGCGGGGGAUCUUCGGACCUCGCGCUAUUGGAGCGGCCGAUGGCAGAUUAGCUAGUUGGUGGGGUAAAGGCCUACCAAGGCGACGAUCUGUAGCUGGUCUGAGAGGACGACCAGCCACACUGGGACUGAGACACGGCCCAGACUCCUACGGGGGGCAGCAGUGGGGAAUUUUGGACAAUGGGCGAAAGCCUGAUCCAGCAAUGCCGCGUGUGUGAUGAAGGCCUUCGGGUUGUAAAGCACUUUUGGCGGGAACGAAAAGGACUGUGCCAAUACCACGGUUCGAUGACGGUACCCGCAGAAUAAGCACCGGCUAACUACGUG
RNAcentral lists this ribosomal RNA (484 nucleotides) under uncultured bacterium. RNAcentral's name for it is "partial 16S ribosomal RNA". It matches the Rfam family "Bacterial small subunit ribosomal RNA", at positions 29 to 507 of the family's 1533-position model. The record is from RNAcentral.